GGUCCUGUGGUCUAGCGGUAUGACGCGUCCUUCACACGGACGAGGUCCCGGGUUCGAGACCCGGCGGGACCU
Zymoseptoria brevis is the source of this 72-nucleotide transfer RNA. It matches the Rfam family "tRNA". Rfam says of the family: Transfer RNA (tRNA) molecules are approximately 80 nucleotides in length. The record is from Rfam. Lineage: Eukaryota; Fungi; Ascomycota; Dothideomycetes; Mycosphaerellales; Mycosphaerellaceae.